This 5218-nucleotide long non-coding RNA is filed under the name Nicotiana benthamiana. RNAcentral's name for it is "long non-coding RNA (NBEN_LNC027586)". Lineage: Eukaryota; Viridiplantae; Streptophyta; Magnoliopsida; Solanales; Solanaceae. The record is from RNAcentral.
UGACAAGUGUAUAGAUUUUUUGUUUUUUUUUCUGUUAUUAUUAAUUCUUUGACAAUUGUAUAUAUACAUGUACAGAUGCAUGAUGAAAUACAGAGAAUUUCACAAUAUUCUUCUUCAAAUUUUUACAUGGUAUAAGAGCAAUAGCUCGAUCCAGUAUUACAUUCAAUCAAUCUAUCUAUUACAUCAGCUCCUUCAUUAGAAGAAAAUGGGUGACACAACUUCUGCCGUUGCAGAGACCAGCAACACUAUCAAAGUUGUGACCUAUGAUUCUAAUCACCCCUAUCAUCUCAAUAAGUCUGAUUCACGAAGUAUGACUCUAGUCAAGUUUUUGAUAGAAAAGGAUACCCAGGAUGGAGGAGAUCCAUUCUUCUGUCACUAUCAGCCAAGAAGAAGCUUGGCUUCAUCAAUGGAGUCUGCAAGUCUCCAGAUCUUACAUCUCCUAAACUUGAAUAAUGGAAUUGUGUAAAUGAUAUGGUUAUCUCAUGGAUUCUUAAUGCACUUUCAAAGGACAUUGGUGAUAGUGUAAUUUACUCCAAGACUGCAAAUGAGCUUUGGGACAGCCUAGAGCAGAGAUUUGGGAGAUCAAAAGGAGCUAAGCUCUAUCAUCUGCAAAAGGAAUUAUCAGGAUUAAUCCAAGGAAAUAGUGAUGUUGCAGGAUACUUUACUAAGCUCAAACGUUUGUGGGAUUAAUUGGAUGCUUUAAAUAUAUCAUAUGCUAUUCUUGUGUGUGUGUGUUUGUGAAGGAAAAGGAAAAUUAGCUUAAAUCAUUGGAGGAUCAGAGGUUGAUCCAAUUCCUAAUGGGACUAAAUGAUAUCUAUGCACAAGAAAGAGGAAACAUUCUCAUGAUAAAUCCUUUGCCUAGCAUAGAUAUUGCUUAUUCACUUCUUUUAAAGGAUGAAAAUCAAAGAGGUGUAUGCAAAUACAAGUUGUAAUUCAGAAUCACUUUCAUUCAUGGCAGAUGGAGAUAAACAACGUAAUGCUCAAUUAUUAGCAGAUUUUGCUGCUUUCAUGGUAGCAUAACAAGGGAGAAAUUUUCAGAAAAAUAGAAAUAAAGCACAAAGAGGAACUGUACUGGGACAGAAAUACAACAAUCCAGCACAGAAAUUCAGUAAACCACAGCAGAAGUUUAAAGGAAAAGACAGGUACAACCCAAAUGUAUCUUGUACCUACUGUGGAAAGACAGGGGACACACAAGAAGGCUGCUAUAGAAUUAUUGGAUUUCCAUAUGAUUUUGAGUUUACCAAUCACAAGAACUAUCAAAAUCAGAUCAAGGGGAAUGCAGUAUUGGCACAUGAGAAUCAUGAAACUCAAUGGGAACAGGCUGGUGAGAACAUCAACAAUUUUGGGAACCAUUUUACCAAGGAAUAAGUUGCAGAGAUGAUGAAUAUGUAUAAACAGGCAAAAGUCAUGCAAGCAGGAAAUUCAGGAAUUAAUGUGAAUGCAACUGAUGGUACUAUUCUAAAAUACUCAGGUUCAGUGUUUACAACUCUAAAUUCAGAUACUUGGAUCAUAGAUUCAGGUACCUCAGAACAUAUGUGUUUUGAUUCUAAUUCCUUUUUAUUCCUUACUCAACUUCAUGUACCUUUAAACAUCAGUUUGCCUAAUUCUUUCAACGUAACUGUUACUCAUAUAGGAAGUGUGUCCAUUCUACCAGGUCAUGCUCUAAACAAUGUUCUUCAUGUUCCAGAUUUCAAAUACAACUUACUCUCAGUUCAUAGGUUCUGUAUUCAGUUCAAAAAUGAUGUUUUACUCACAUCUAUUAGGUGUAUGUUGCAGGGCUUUUCAAUGAAGAGCCCACAAGCUUUUGGUGAAGUUAGAGAGGGACUUUACAUUUUGGAUCCUAGUAGUCUUAAGUCCAAGGGACUGUUCAGUAAUAAUGUAAUUUCAAUUCAAAAAGGAAGCGAUUCCAUUUCAGAGUCUAAGUCUUUCUCUAGUCAUGUUUUUCUUAAUACUAUUCCUGAUGUUAAGCUUUGGCAUGUAAGGUUGGGACAUCUCCCUUUUUCAGCAAUGAGACAUUUAGAUUUCCUUCAUUGUGACUCUAACUCUAAUUUUAUCUGUGAUGUUUGUCCUAAGGCUAGGAAAACAAGGAAUCCUUUCCCAAUCAACACCAUUAAGUCAAAUCACAUUUUUGAUCUUAUACAUAUAGACACAUGGGGGCCUUACAAGUUCAAUACCUAUAAUGGUUUUAGAUAUUUUCUUACUAUAGUGGAUGAUUAUAGUAGAGGAACCUGGACAUUUUUGCUAUCUUCUAAAAGCAAUGCUUUUCCUAUGCUCAAAUCUUUCUUGUCUAUGGUUGAAGGACAGUUCAAUAUGAAGUUAAAGAUGAUAAGGUCUGACAAUGCACUAGAAUUGGGGAAGGGGACACAUGAAGCAGCCUAUCUGGCUUCAGAAGGAAUUUUGCAAAAAUUAUUUUGUGUGGCUACACCCCAACAGAAUGGAAUUGUUUAAAUGAAUCAUAGACAUCUUUUAGAUCUUUUAGAAAUUGCUAGAGGAUUAAUGUUUCAGUCUAGACUGCCUAUGUGCUGUUGGGGAGAAUAUAUUCUGACUGCUACACACAUCCUGAACAGGUUACCCUCCAGAGUCUUUCAAGGAAAGACACCAUAUGAAGUUCUGUUUCAACAUAAACCCAAGUAUGAUUAUUUCAGAAAUUUUGGAUGCCUAUGUUAUGCUUCUACAUUGGCACAAGGAAAAGGAAAGUUUGAUGAAAGGGCAACAGCUUGUGUGCUGCUUGGUUAUCCUAUCCAUCAAAAGGGAUAUAAACUACUGGAAUUGUCCACCAGGAAAGUGUUUGUGUCAAGGGAUGUACGGUUUCAUGAAUCCCAUUUUCCCUUCACAGAAAUCAAUAUAGCACACCAUCCUAUUUUCCCAACUUCAAUCUUCAACUCUGAACCUACUUCUCCUCUCACCUCACCAGCUCAAACACAGCUUGCUUGCACAAACCAUGAAAUAGCAGAUGAUUUUUUAACACAACCAUCAACCCCUUCCUCAUAUUCACCUACUCCUCACACAGCCUCACCUAGACAAACAUCUACUGAAGUAGAGCCAUCACAUAAUAAUAUACCUACAUUCAUACCUCAUGACCCUAUUCCCCUGAGGAGAUCAUGAAGGAUUUCUACUCAACCUCCCUACUUAAAAGACUUUGUGUGUAGUAGCAUCAUAUCCACAUAUGUCGCUACAGCCUGUUUUACCCUUCCUUGUCAACCUAGAGAAUGCAGUUUUUCAUCCCUCUCACCCAAUAACCAACAUGUCAUGCAAUCCAUUUCUAAUCUAAGAGAGCCUUGCACUUUUGCACAAGCCUGUCAGCAUCCAGGAUGGGUAGAAGCCAUGAAUGCAGAAAUUAGAGCACUAGAAGACAAUCACACAUGGGAUGUGGUUGAAUUACCUAAAGGAAAAAGGACUUUACCUUGCAAAUAGGUAUACAAGGUGAAGCACUUAUCAGAUGGGAAAGUUGAAAGAUUGAAGGCAAGAUUGGUAGUAAGGGGGGAUGUCCAAAGAGAAGGCAUAGAUUAUGAUGAGACUUUCUCACCAGUGGUCAAGAUGACAACCAUAAGGUGUUUUCUCACUGUUGCAGCUAAGAAAGAUUGGGUUGUUUCUCAAUUGGAUGUAAAUAAUGCAUUUUUGCAUAUAAGCCUUCAAGAAGAGGUUUACAUGAAGUUCCCAGCAGGUUUGGAUCCUCCUAGUCCCAAACAUGUCUGCCUUUUGAGAAAAUCACUUUAUGGCCUAAAGCAAGCAUCUACGCAAUGGUAUGCUAGACUUUCUGGAGCUCUAAGUUUUAAGGGAUAUUCAUCUUCAUUAAAUGACUAUUCCUUGUUCUUUAAGCGUGCAUGGAGUCUUAUCUCUGUUCUAGCAGUCUAUGUUGAUGACAUACUGAUUACAGGGGAUGAUUUAGAUGAGAUUCAAGGGAUCACAUAUUUUCUGAAUACUGAAUUCAAUGUCAAGCAUUUGGGAAACAUUCAUUAUUUCCUAGGCAUGGAAGUUUUGAGAGAAAAAGCAGGCUUUAUGGUGAGUCAAAGAAAGUUUACCUUAGACAUGCUGCAGGAAUUUGAUGUCUCACAUUAGCCUCGAGUCAGUUCCCCUUUGGAUCCUUCCUUCAAGCUCCAAGAUGAUAAUCAAUACCUGCUAAACCCCACUGUAUAUCGUCAUUUGGUUGGAAAAUUAAAUUUUGUAACCAAUACACGCCCAGAUCUGUGUUUUGAUGUCCUUACCCUUAGUCAAUACAUGCAGAAACCAUGCUUUUCUCAUUUUUCUGCUGCUCUGCGAGUGCUUAAAUAUCUCAUUUCUGAUCAAGGACAAGGGAUCUUACUGUCCGCUGAGCCAUCUUUCUCUUUACUUGCCUUUUGUGAUGCUGAUUGAGCUUUCUGCAAAGAUUCCGGAGGUCUGUUAGUGGUUUCUUUAUCACCUUAUGAGGUACACCUGUCUCAUGGAAAUCAAAGAAGCAUGCCUCAAUUUCUUUAUCUUCCGCAGAGGCGAAAUAUAGAUCUAUGAGAAAGGUGAUUGCAGAGCUUACCUGGUUGGUUCGACUUCUUGACGAUCUCUCUGCACCGGUCACUCUUCCGAUUCCUCUUCACUCUGACAGCAAAGCAGCAAUCCACAUCGCCUGAAACCAGUUUUCCAUGAACGAACAAAACAUGUGGAAAUUGACUGUCACUUUGUGCGACAGCAAUUCCUUUCCGGUCUAAUCACACUCUCCUUUGUUCCCUCCAAGGAUCAACUAGCAGACAUAUUUACAAAACCUCUUUCUGGGGUCUAUCAUCGAGACAUGUUGAGCAAGUUGGGGGUAACUAUGUUCCCCUCCACCUUGAGGGGGAUGUCGAGAAGAACCCCUAUUCUAAUUCUGAGAUUCCUCAAGGGAUGAGAAGAAGAAGAAAGGGUUUCAGACAAGAACUCGAUAUAAUCUAAGUACUUUAGAUUAUAUUUGUGGUUUAUUCAAUUGGACACAUGGAGACAAUUGAACCCUUAGAUCAUGCAAGCAUAUUUUAUGAUGGAUCAAAUAAUAGCCCUCAGAUUUGUUAACACUCUAGAUUUCCCUCACGUGAGUAGCAUGUGAGGGAAUCAAAGUUUGUUACUCAUGGUUAUAGAUAUUAUAGAUAGGCAAAUUAGAUGGUGACAGGUGUAUAGAUUUUUUGUUUUCUUUUUCUGUUAUUAUUAAUUCUUUGACAAUUGUAUAUAUACAUGUACAGAUGCAUGAUGAAAUACACAGAGAAUUUCACAAUAUUCU